CCUGCCUGCCCUGUGACUAUAUGUUUAACGGCCGCGGUAUUUUGACCGUGCAAAGGUAGCGCAAUCACUUGUCUCUUAAAUGGAGACCUGUAUGAAUGGCAAGACGAGGGCUAAGCUGUCUCCUUUUCCAAGUCAGUGAAAUUGAUCUCCCCGUGCAGAAGCGGGGAUAUUCUCAUAAGACGAGAAGACCCUAUGGAGCUUUAGACACUAAACAGCCCAUGUUAAACAACCUACAUUAAAGGUAAGAACUUAGUGGCACCUCGUUUAAUUGUCUUCGGUUGGGGACCGCGGGGGAAAAACCAGCCCCCAUGUGGAGUGGGAGCAUGCUCUCCUAAAACCAAGAAUAACUUUUCUAAGUAACAGAAAUUCUGACCAAAUAUGAUCCGGCAAUGCCGAUCAACGAACCCAGUUACCCUAGGGAUAACAGCGCAAUCCUCUCCCAGAGUCCCUAUCGACGAGGGGGUUUACGACCUCGAUGUUGGAUCAGGACAUCCUAAUGGUGCAGCCGCUAUUAAGGG
This 518-nucleotide ribosomal RNA is filed under the name Galaxias parvus. RNAcentral describes it as "partial 16S ribosomal RNA". It matches the Rfam family "Bacterial large subunit ribosomal RNA", at positions 1854 to 2571 of the family's 2925-position model. Lineage: Eukaryota; Metazoa; Chordata; Actinopteri; Galaxiiformes; Galaxiidae. The record is from RNAcentral.